CGGCCUGGUAGUGGCGGACGGGUGAGUAUCGCGUAGGGAUGUAUCGUUGGGUGGGGGAUAGCCUUGGGAAACUGGGGGUAAUACCGCAUGACGCCUGUGGGCCAAAGGUCGCGAGACCGCCUGACGAGCAGCCUGCGUCCGAUUAGCUAGUUGGUUGGGUAAUGGCUGACCAAGGCUGUGAUCGGUAGCUGGUCUGAGAGGAUGAUCAGCCACACUGGGACUGAGACACGGCCCAGACUCCUACGGGAGGCAGCAGUGGGGAAUAUUGGACAAUGGGCGCAAGCCUGAUCCAGCAAUGCCGCGUGGAUGAAGAAGGUCUUCGGAUUGUAAAGUCCUUUCGGCGGGGACGAUGAUGACGGUACCC
Molecule: ribosomal RNA, 364 nt
Filed under: uncultured bacterium
Lineage: Bacteria
Description: bacterial SSU rRNA
Rfam family: Bacterial small subunit ribosomal RNA
Source: RNAcentral